UGCAGGUACUCCUGGAAGGCAGGCCACCUUUUAAGUAACACUGUUGUAAAAUAUUCUGUUUAUUGAGUGGGCUCAGGCGAGGGCUUCAGAACUUCAAGGGAUGUAUACUGCUUUCCUCACCAGAGGUGUCCACUAGCUUCUGGAACAUGGCAGAGAAGAAAUGGGCCAGUUUAUUUACGAGAUUUGAUUGGGAGGAUGGUUGCCAACUACACCCUUUCUCCUAUCAGAAGGAUAAGAAACAGGUGUUUCGAAAGUGCCCAUGGCCAUAAGGGAGAAAGAGCACCAGACCAUCUGAAUAACGUGAAAGUGGACACAGGAAACACCAGACACCCAGAGAAAUGGAGUCCAAAUAGAAACUCAGACCAUUCUUGCUGGAGAUACAUCAAGUGAAUACCUUUGUAGAUCUGGACCUGACCCAAGGAAGCCUGGAUGAUUUGCAAAAGUUUUCCUUCCAUACCUCUACACCACAGAUGGAUUGAGAAAUGUCACAACAAAUUAGAAGUGAAGAGUUAAGUCAUGGCAAGUGACUCCUCAACUCAAGGCUCCUUCAACAUUCUGGAACUGUUUAAUGUCAAUCUUGACUUUGUCUCCAGGGCCCUUUUCUUUUCUUUUUUCUUUUUCUUUCUUUCUUUCUUUCUUUCUUUUUUUUUUUUUUUUUUUUUGAGACAGUUUUCACUCUCGUUGCCCAGGUUGGAGUGCAAUGGCAUGUUAUCAACUCACUGCAACCUCUGCCUCCUGGGUUCAAGCAGUCCUCUGGCCUCAGUCUCCUGAGUAGCUGGAAUUACAAGCGUGUGCCACCAUGCCCGGCUAAUUUUUGUGUUUUUAGUAGAGACGGGGUUUCACCACAUUGGCUAGGCUGUUCUUGAACUCCUGACCUCAGCUGAUCCACCCGCCUUGGCCUCCCAAAGUGUUGGGAUUACAGGCGUGAGCCAAUGCGCCCGGCCCCAGGGCCCUUUUCUUAAAACCAAAUCCCAUGCAAUAAAGCACGUUUAUUUCAUGCAACACAGCUUAGUUAAUGCUUAUACUUCCAAAUACUCCGGUUUACUAGGUACAACUCAAUCAGGAGUGCCUAGUAUAAAAGAACAUGCACAGCACAGCGACAGAGAAUGUUCAUCACCAAACACAAGGAAGCAAAGGAGAUGCAAAGCUAUGGUAGCUAGAGGAGGAUUAGCUUUCCUGAUUUCAGUUUGAGAAAAGCCACUUGUCUCUACAGUCCACUAGUUUGGCAAGGCAUUUGCCCUUGGCUGUGAGAUGAUGUUACAUUCAAAGUAAGGUAUAUUAAUUUCCAGGCUUGUCCAGGAUCAGGGGCUGGAGUCUUCCUUCAAUAGUAAUCCUUUCCUUAAAACCAGUUCUAAGCUUUGUAUUUGUUUUAUUAAGUGAUUGGAUAGCCCUGAAAUAUGAGUUUCCUCCAAUCUCUUCCACUUUGCAAACUCCAGAACCGUUUGACCAAUAAGUUAAAACCCAGAGGAGGACUGACUGUGAGCUAAGGCUUCAGACAUGCAAAGCGCACAACCCUGGGAAACAGCAGCAUCUGGGACAGGAGGCUCCCAUUACUACACAUGAGGGUGUCAUAGGUUUUGCAAAUCAAACACACAUAGAAAACCAGUAGUAGCCUGGGUUGGACACACUGUAUGAGUUGCACAGUUGAGUGAGGACCCAGACCAGGGAGCCACAUGUUCCUCUAGCUUGCAUACAUUUAUUUCACACCACCUCAGGCCACUCAUAGUUUGCUUACCUGCUCAUUGUUGCUCUCCCACCAUUCCCCAUACUCCCUUUGGGGGUGAAACACUCUAUUUCCGACUUGUGCUGGGCCAGUCUCCUGUCUUUGUACCUGGUGAGCAUGAACAAGGACAGGAGCAAACAGAAAGACGUGAUUGUGUGCUUAACUGCCAGGCUGAGGAACGGCCGUGACUGUGGAGAUGGUCACUCUGUGCCAAAAUGGGGGUUCCUGCUUCUCAAUGCAAUGACCAACCUGUGAUACUUAUUAGAUGAAUGUGAUGGCAUAUGGACAACAUCAG
RNAcentral lists this long non-coding RNA (2018 nucleotides) under Homo sapiens (human). Its description in RNAcentral is "HSALNT0179541". The record is from RNAcentral. Lineage: Eukaryota; Metazoa; Chordata; Mammalia; Primates; Hominidae.